AGGCGAGUAGCUCAACUGGUAGAGCAACGGUCUCCAAAACCGUAGGUUGUGGGUUCAAGUCCUGCCUCGCCUG
Molecule: transfer RNA, 73 nt
Filed under: Chloroflexota bacterium
Lineage: Bacteria; Bacillati; Chloroflexota
Also listed under: 1 other name
Description: Chloroflexi bacterium (marine metagenome) tRNA-Trp
Rfam family: tRNA
About the family: Transfer RNA (tRNA) molecules are approximately 80 nucleotides in length. Their secondary structure includes four short double-helical elements and three loops (D, anti-codon, and T loops). Further hydrogen bonds mediate the characteristic L-shaped molecular structure. tRNAs have two regions of fundamental functional importance: the anti-codon, which is responsible for specific mRNA codon recognition, and the 3' end, to which the tRNAs corresponding amino acid is attached (by aminoacyl-tRNA synthetases). tRNAs cope with the degeneracy of the genetic code in two manners: having more than one tRNA (with a specific anti-codon) for a particular amino acid; and 'wobble' base-pairing, i.e. permitting non-standard base-pairing at the 3rd anti-codon position.
Source: RNAcentral